GGAACCUUAUGCAGAAAUCCAGGUUCCAUUCCAUCUAGCCCUUUUCCAGCCUUUUCUCUUCAGUUAUGCACUGUGUCAUGAUGCCAUUGGAAAUAGAAACUGUUCAAAUCGGGAUGAGAGCACCCAUCUCUUCGGAUAGUUAUCUGACUCUCCUUUCCCCUCUACCGUUUCACUCCAUCAGGGCUGUUGACAAUCAGUUGUUUGUGGCAACCUGCUCGCCCGCACGAGACCCUAACGUGAAGUCAGACUACAUGAUCUGGGGCCAUUCGAGCCUCACCGGACCGUUCCCUUCACGACGGGAUUCCGAGGGUCAUUCUUUUCAGAACAGGAUUCUCUCUCCUUUCUCUUCGCGAUUCCCCUCGAAGCUGUUGGAGAUGAGAGAAAAUAAAAGGAAUAAGAACGGGAAAGAGAAUAAGAACACUGCAAACGCUAAUCUAUCGCGCAUACUUCUCCAUCUUGACAGUUUGGAUUCAACCGGGUUGGAAGCUAACUUGUGUUCCAAACUUCGCAGUUCGGUGAAGUGCUUGCAGCAGCUGGGCAUGAGGAGGUGACUGCCAUCGGCGAGAUCGACCUCUCUGCGAUACAAUCUACAAGGUGCAAGGGAGAACCUCCCGUUGGAGACGCAGAGCAGAUGAGACCUGUACCGAUUGGUUGAUGUCCAGAGACAGGGAGAGUCUGCAAGCAACGACGCUUGAGGAAAUGCAAAUGCAAAUGGGUGGGGCUGAACUGCUGAAGAGGGAAGAGGUUCCAGUCAAUGAUACGAUGCUCUGUGCUUGUGCUGCGAGAUGCCUUCCUCUGUCAAGUUUUAGCAUGAGGAUCGUGUCCGACUCCUGUGGUAUCUUGCUCUAGAACCUAGAGAAAGAGUUUGGUCGUCCCUAGUGUAGUACCGACAUGUACGGCCGUUGACAUGUUGGACCUGUGCAUCAAAUGUGUUUUGAGCUGUUCAUUCGUGUCAGUUAGACAAUCUCUGGCAGAGGUGACUAGUCUCUGAUGUUUUUAACAUGCUGUUGAUGCUGUGCUGUAUCGCAAUCCAACUCCCCCUCUCUGA
Molecule: RNA transcript, 1048 nt
Organism: Phragmites australis (common reed)
Lineage: Eukaryota; Viridiplantae; Streptophyta; Magnoliopsida; Poales; Poaceae
Gene name: omega-amidase, chloroplastic-like
Exons: 4
Source: RefSeq, a predicted model, not a curated record